Non-coding RNA from Pseudomonas sp. GM78, 87 nucleotides. NCBI's taxonomy places the organism in Bacteria, Pseudomonadati, Pseudomonadota, Gammaproteobacteria, Pseudomonadales, Pseudomonadaceae. The record is from Rfam.
CGUUAUGGCGGCUGUGCGCGGGAGGCUUUCGAGUCUGCCGGGUUCCUUGAUUCCCGGUCUGCGAACCUGCGUACAGUUGCCACCCUC